RNAcentral lists this unclassified non-coding RNA (673 nucleotides) under Desmodesmus sp. F2. RNAcentral describes it as "sequence contains 5.8S rRNA gene, ITS2, 28S rRNA gene". The stretch from base 204 to 357 matches the Rfam family "5.8S ribosomal RNA". Lineage: Eukaryota; Viridiplantae; Chlorophyta; Chlorophyceae; Sphaeropleales; Scenedesmaceae. The record is from RNAcentral.
AACAAGGUUUCCGUAGGUGAACCUGCGGAAGGAUCAUUGAAUAUGCAAACCACAACACGCACUCUUUUAUUUGUGUACCGACGUUAGGUCGAACCACUAACCCUGGUUUGGCCUACUAACCUACACACACACCAUUGACCAACAUUUGAUUAAACCAAACUCUGAAGUUUCAGCUGCUGUUAAUCGGCAGUUUUAACGAAAACAACUCUCAACAACGGAUAUCUUGGCUCUCGCAACGAUGAAGAACGCAGCGAAAUGCGAUACGUAGUGUGAAUUGCAGAAUUCCGUGAACCAUCGAAUCUUUGAACGCAUAUUGCGCUCGACUCCUCGGAGAAGAGCAUGUCUGCCUCAGCGUCGGUUUACACCCUCACCCCUCUUCCUUAACAGGAAGCUUGUCGUGCUUGCUCAAGCCGGCAUCAGGGGUGGAUCUGGCCCUCCCAAUCGGACUCACCUCCGAUUGGGUUGGCUGAAGCACAGAGGCUUAAACUGGGACCCAAUUCGGGCUCAACUGGAUAGGUAGCAACACCCUCGGGUGCCUACACGAAGUUGUGUCUGAGGACCUGGUUAGGAGCCAAGCAGGAAACGUGUCUCUGACGCGUAUCUCUGUAUUCGACCUGAGCUCAGGCAAGGCUACCCGCUGAACUUAAGCAUAUCCCGCUGAACUUAAGCAUAU